Molecule: ribosomal RNA, 1098 nt
Filed under: uncultured bacterium
Lineage: Bacteria
Description: bacterial SSU rRNA
Rfam family: Bacterial small subunit ribosomal RNA
Source: RNAcentral
AUGGGCGAAAGCCUGAUGCAGCCAUACCGCGUGUAUGAAGAAGGCCUUUGGGUUGUAAAGUACUUUCAGAAGUGAAGAAAACAACUAAGACUAAUAAUCUUGUUUUAUUGACAUUAACUUCAGAAGAAGCACCGGCUAACUCCGUGCCAGCAGCCGCGGUAAUACGGAGGGUGCAAGCGUUAAUCGGAAUUACUGGGCGUAAAGCGUACGCAGGUGGUUUAUUAAGUUGGAUGUGAAAUCCCUGGGCUUAACCUAGGAACUGCAUUCAAAACUGAUAGGCUAGAGUAUCAUAGAGGGGAGGAGAAUUCCAGGUGUAGCGGUGAAAUGCGUAGAGAUCUGGAGGAAUACCAGUGGCGAAGGCGCCUCCCUGGAUGAAUACUGACGCUCAUGUACGAAAGCAUGGGGAGCAAACAGGAUUAGAUACCCUGGUAGUCCAUGCUGUAAACGAUGUCGAUUUGGAGAUUGUAGUUUUAUACUGUGGUUUCCGAAGCUAACGCGUUAAAUCGACCGCCUGGGGAGUACGGCCGCAAGGUUAAAACUCAAAUGAAUUGACGGGGGCCCGCACAAGCGGUGGAGCAUGUGGUUUAAUUCGAUGCAACGCGAAAAACCUUACCUACUCUUGACAUCCAGAGUACUUACUAGAGAUAGUUUGGUGCCUUUUGGUAACUCUGAGACAGGUGCUGCAUGGCUGUCGUCAGCUCGUGUUGUGAAAUGUUGGGUUAAGUCCCGCAACGAGCGCAACCCUUGUUCUUUGUUGCCAGCGAUUUGGUCGGGAACUCAAAGAAGACUGCCGGUGAUAAAUCGGAGGAAGGUGGGGAUGACGUCAAGUCAUCAUGGCCCUUAUGAGUAGGGCUACACACGUGCUACAAUGGCAUAUACAAAGAGAAGCUACCUCGUAAGAGCAAGCAAAUCUAUAAAGUAUGUCUAAGUCCGGAUUGGAGUCUGCAACUCGACUCUAUGAAGUAGGAAUCGCUAGUAAUCGUAGAUCAGCAUGCUACGGUGAAUACGUUCCCGGGCCUUGUACACACCGCCCGUCACACCAUGGAAGUGGGUGCAAAAGAAGCAAGUAGCUUAACCUUUAUAAGGAGGCGCUACCAC